AGUGAACGCUGGCGGCGUGCCUAAUACAUGCAAGUCGAACGGUAACAGGAAGUAGCUUGCUACUUUGCUGAUUAGUGGCGCACGGGUGAGUAAUGCAUAGGUCAUGAGCCCCAUAGUCUGGGAUAGCCACUGGAAACGGUGAUUAAUACUGGAUACUCCCGAGAGGGGAAAGUUUUUCGCUAUGGGAUCAGCCUAUGUCCUAUCAGCUUGUUGGUGAGGUAAUGGCUCACCAAGGCUAUGACGGGUAUCCGGCCUGAGAGGGUGAACGGACACACUGGAACUGAGACACGGUCCAGACUCCUACGGGAGGCAGCAGUAGGGAAUAUUGCUCAAUGGGGGAAACCCUGAAGCAGCAACGCCGCGUGGAGGAUGAAGGUCUUCGGAUUGUAAACUCCUUUUCUAAGAGAAGAUUAUGACGGUAUCUUAGGAAUAAGCACCGGCUAACUCCGUG
RNAcentral lists this ribosomal RNA (451 nucleotides) under uncultured bacterium. RNAcentral's name for it is "partial 16S ribosomal RNA". It matches the Rfam family "Bacterial small subunit ribosomal RNA", at positions 29 to 507 of the family's 1533-position model. The record is from RNAcentral.